Molecule: long non-coding RNA, 960 nt
Organism: Phragmites australis (common reed)
Lineage: Eukaryota; Viridiplantae; Streptophyta; Magnoliopsida; Poales; Poaceae
Exons: 4
Source: RefSeq, a predicted model, not a curated record
UCCAACGGAAUCUAGCAAUCUUGGACGUUGAUGUAGCUCUGGUCAUAACAACAUCGCCGCCGACCUCCCAACAACCAACUCGCCGCCGCCAAGGGGCGGAGCUAAGCCCCGGCCAAACUGGGCAGGUGCCCGCACCUGCAUCUCCGCCGCCGCCGCGCACGCCACCACUGUCCGCCGAGGGGCCGUCUGCACGUCGCCGUGUCGGACGGAGACGUCCGCCGUCCUGGGCUGGCGGCCGUCUCCGAGGUCGUGCCCAUAUGAUUAUCCACUUUACGAUUAUGCACUCCAGGGAGAGCCUGAUGGCCAUUUUAUGAUGGUGAUUCUGUGACGUCUAAAGGUUCCAAGACAUCAUCUGAGAAAAUUGAAGUGGCAAGAUCUCUUAAAUACAUCAGGGCACCUUGGAAGAACAAAGCUUCGAAAUCUGAGGAGCACAGGCCUGUGGUCCAUCCAGAAGUAAUUCUUUGUGUGGAAAUUUAUCAGAAGAGAUAUGUCUCUGUGAAAAGCCAGGAAUUUCUUGUGUUGGGAAGCCAAUUCCUUAGUGGUCUAAGGGACGACACCGAGAGAACUUUUGUGACGCUCGUGUCAGGACCUUCACAUUAUACUACUACCAAGAACAUGCGCCCUGUUGUUUCCUUUUCAAUGAAACUUCUCUGUUUUCCUCCUAAUCAGAAGACCAUAGCUCAUGAACAAACAAUGUCGAGCUGCAAGGUAGUGCUCAAUUAUGAAAGGCACCUGGCAUACAAGCUGUCAGUACAGCAUCAGCUUUGCUUCCGGUUAUUCUUGUGUGUCAUGCAAAUGAUUAUUCUAUUGUACUACCUUGCAGAAGCUGUUGUGGGUGCUGAAAUUAGCGAAGAUGGGCCUUCCGACAAGUGAUGAAAUGCAAAAGUAAGAAAUUGCCUGUAUAUUUCAUCGUCUACGAUGAGAAUAGCUGAAAAUUUCAGAGCGUCAGCAUAUGCACUU